UACGUAGGGGGCAAGCGUUAAUCGGAAUUACUGGGCGUAAAGCGUGCGCAGGCGGUUUUGUAAGCCAGAUGUGAAAUCCCCGGGCUUAACCUGGGAAUGGCAUUUGGGACUGCAAGGCUGGAGUGCGGCAGAGGAGACUGGAAUUCCUGGUGUAGCAGUGAAAUGCGUAGAUAUCAGGAGGAACACCGAUGGCGAAGGCAGGUCUCUGGGCUGACACUGACGCUCAUGCACGAAAGCGUGGGGAGCAAACAGG
Molecule: ribosomal RNA, 253 nt
Filed under: uncultured bacterium
Lineage: Bacteria
Description: partial 16S ribosomal RNA
Rfam family: Bacterial small subunit ribosomal RNA
Source: RNAcentral